Molecule: ribosomal RNA, 253 nt
Filed under: uncultured bacterium
Lineage: Bacteria
Description: partial 16S ribosomal RNA
Rfam family: Bacterial small subunit ribosomal RNA
Source: RNAcentral
GACAGAGGAUGCAAGCGUUAUCCGGAAUGAUUGGGCGUAAAGCGUCUGUAGGUGGCUUUUUAAGUCUGCCGUCAAAUCCCAGGGCUUAACCCUGGGCAGGCGGUGGAAACUACCAAGCUGGAGUACGGUAGGGGCAGAGGGAAUUUCCGGUGGAGCGGUGAAAUGCGUAGAGAUCGGAAAGAACACCAACGGCGAAGGCACUCUGCUGGGCCGACACUGACACUGAGAGACGAAAGCUAGGGGAGCAGAUGGG